RNAcentral lists this transfer RNA (74 nucleotides) under Planctomycetota bacterium. Its description in RNAcentral is "Planctomycetes bacterium tRNA-His". It matches the Rfam family "tRNA". From Rfam's summary of the family: Transfer RNA (tRNA) molecules are approximately 80 nucleotides in length. Their secondary structure includes four short double-helical elements and three loops (D, anti-codon, and T loops). Lineage: Bacteria; Pseudomonadati; Planctomycetota. The record is from RNAcentral.
GUGGGUUUAGCUCAGCUGGUUAGAGCGCCGGAUUGUGGAUCCGGAGGUCGCGGGUUCAAGUCCCGUAACUCACC